GUUAAAGCUUGGUCGAAAAUUCCAUUUUGGCUUAGUGGCAAGCAUUUGAAAUUAUUUAUUUCAGGUGAACUUCAGUAACUACAAUGCUGUCAUGAGUUUCUUCAAUGUGAACCAGAACCACUGGAAGUUCAUUUAUCUGCAUGAACCAUCAGGCCAAGUGUUUUUGGUUGACCCUGCUGGACAGAAAGAGAAGCAGGAAUCGGGAAUACGCUGCAUUCAAAUUCAGGUCUUAUUUAUUCCGUUGUACUGGAUCUAAUACAUAUUAGCAUUUUACAUACAUUCAUAAGUGUAAUAAUUAUUUAUUUUUUACAUUUUACAUUUUAGUCAUUUAGCAGACGCUCUUAUCCAGAGCGACUUACAGUAGUGAAUGCAUACAUUUCAUUUCAUGCAUCUUUUUUUUGUACUGUGAAAAACUUUAUGACAUACUGUGAAAAACUCUCUUGGCUGCUGGCUCUGUCACUUUCUUUCACGACUUCUGCCGAAGUCGGUCCCUCUCCUUGUUCGGCGGCAUUCGGCGUUCGACGUCACCGGUCUUCUAGCCAUCGCCGCUCCACCUUUCAUUUUCCAUUUGUUUUGUCUUGUUUUCCUGCACACCUGGUUUUCAUCUCAUCACCAUUACUGUCACGAUUCUCUAAAGCUGAACCCAGAAGCAGACCAGGACAAGGUGAGUAAAAUGAAGGUGAGUAUUUAUUUACAGACUCGAGGUGAAAAUAGAAUAAUCCAGGAGAGUGAGUGGCAGCGGAGGUGAGUUGAUGAGAGUGAGUAGGCAGAUCCAAUGAUGUCACUGAAACCAGAGCCGACCAGGCAAGGGGGGUGAAUGUUCCGGGAGGAUGACUGUAGACAGAGUAAACAGGGGUGAGUAACCGGCAAAAAGUACAGAACAACAAAACGAACUCUGGUAACAUGAGGCUGAUACGCUGACACAACAUACUGUUCAUUGCUAACGAUCCGGCAGGGAAUGGAGGUCAGAGCUUAUGAAGAGAAGAGGUGAUGAUCAGGACCAGGUGUGCAGAUGGCUGAUGAGAUGCAGCUGCGGGUAAUCGAGACAUCACCCGCCUAGAUUCGUCGCCCGGCAACCAGACAGGGUGUGUUCAGAAACCUCAGGAAACAACUCCAAAACAGAAAACAGGCAGCUCAGGCAGAAAACAGACUCUGUUCCCUCCAUGUCUGUGUGGGGUAUUGUUUAUUGUCAAGGUUGGCACGCUUCCGGCUGGUUUGCGCCGGGUUUUGUUUUAUACCCGUGCUUUGUGGCAGCCGAUACUUGGGUUUUGUACUUUGUGCUGCCUUACUUGUUCUUUGGGCAUUUGUUUUGUGACGCGGUUACGUUCUGUUCAUAUGAUUGCCAAAGCAAAGUGCUUUGUCCACUCAUCUCUGCUCUGCUGCGCCUGACUUCCAGGCACCAGCUACACCCACCAUUGACACUUUCAGACAUGCGCAGAGCAGACUGAAAGGGGAAGGGUAGCUCUUGACUUGAACCGCAGGGGUUCUCUGUAAAGAGAGAGUAAUCCAAAAGGCACAGGCACACCCCUUGACUUUCAAUUGGCACCCUUGACCUGUGUAUUCUCUCCUGAUUGGCUCUGUGGUGCUUAGUCAAUGGGAACUCUGUUGCCGGCCCCAUCAUACAUUUUUUACACAUUCUGGCAGUCUGACUAAAGUGCCAGAGGUAUGAGGAGAGACAUCCUCCUUUGUAUUUAUGGGAACAAAUAUUUCCUAACACUUUGGAUCCUAUUUUUGGACAGUGCAUCAAUGCAACAACAAAAAAUAAUUACUAAUUACUGUCCAUGAGUAACCUCAACCUUGUUGGUGUUUGGGCCAAUAAAGUGCCAACUCAAUUCUACCACUGACUAGUCUCUCAUGCCCCUAUGAACGAGGACACAGGGCAAUAGUUUUUAAUCUAAACCAGCCCUUUUUUACUGGAGUACACUAACCCCUAAUUGGGGCUCUUUUCUUGACAAACAGUAGCAGUUUACCAGAUAAGAAGAUCAAAAAGUAGAUUGUUGUAAGGGUGUAUUAUGUCCUGUGCUGGCCACAUUGUCAUAUCCAUUCUGGAUUCUGAGUGGUAAAAUCAUAUCUGAAAAAUGCCUCUAUGUAUGUGUAUACUGUAAGUGGGAAUGUCCGUCCUACAUGUAGUGUUGGUACAUGGAAUAUUCCAUAACUGCAUAUAUCAUGAAAUGCUAUUGCAAUUUGUUCAACAACUGACAUUUUAUGUUCAAGUAUUAUGCUCAACAACUGACAUUUUCAGAUAUUAUUUUGACAAACACACUUUAACACACUUUGGUGCUUACAAUACAUUCUCUAUUGUCAUAGAUUUGGUGGGCACUGUCAUCUGUGAUCUUUGUGAUAUGACUUUCUAAAAGCACGUACUGAUGAAACUGUCACUUAAUAUUUUUUUCUUAAAGUCUAUAAACGCUCUAAAUGUAUUCACUCUGUGAUAGGGUUGGAUCCUAUAUGCUACUUUUAUUAUUGUCCUGUAAAUGGUUCAGUGCCUAUAAUUUAGGCUGUGUGUAGAAUGGGGCAUAAAGGAAAUUACUAGAUUAUAGUGAUAAGGAAAACAAUUUUGGCCUGUGUAUUAUUUUGCCUAUAACUAAUUAGAAUUCCAUUAUGUUUACAUAAAAAAGAGAAUAUUUCAAAAUGAAAAGCUCAUGCCACGGAAAAGACGACUGGGUGGAUAUAAAGUGGAAAGGAGGGGAAAUAACUCACACCAUGCAGCAGGACACCUUCAGCUGCGGGGUCUUUGUAAUGCAGGUUUGAUAGUUAUAUUUUCAAUAAUGAAUGGUUAGCUGUAAUGUGACAAUUAGGUCAAAAACUCUAUUUUAUUUUUUGGUGUAGAUGGCCAAGGAAAUUGCACAGAACUUCCCCAAAAUCCCCUCUCAAAUUGAUAUAGAACCUUUACAAAAACACAUGGAGCAACUGCGAAAAUAAAUGGCUGAGGAUAUACUAAAAAUGGCUGAGUUCAACAAAGUCAACAACUGCUCCAUGUGUGCCACUGAUAAAGAACCUGGAUGUGGCCCAAAGACUGACUGGAUUGAAUGUUUUGCAUGCCAACGGUGGUUCCAUGUGCUGUGCCUAGGAAUGAAGACAAAAUAGUUCAACAGAGUAAAGAACACGAACUGGAAGUGCAGUCUGUGUUGUUGAAAAUGUAUGCUAUACCCCAUCCACACUGAAGAGGUUCUGAAAUGUACAUCAACCAGGGAUAAAGAGAAAGUUAACACUGUGAAACGUUUCGUACUUAUUUGAAAUAAAGUGUCUGUUGACAAGUUGGAAAAGAUUAAAGGUCUACAAUUUCUGUUUAAUUUGACAAUAUUACAUUUUUAUUCAUUGAUUUACUGGCCACCAUUACUGUGGUUACAUGUUCAGUAUAUGUAUUCACCAGCAAACCCA
Long non-coding RNA from Salmo salar (Atlantic salmon), 3381 nucleotides. RefSeq lists it as uncharacterized. The record is from RefSeq and is a predicted model, not a curated record. NCBI's taxonomy places the organism in Eukaryota, Metazoa, Chordata, Actinopteri, Salmoniformes, Salmonidae.